Molecule: ribosomal RNA, 491 nt
Filed under: uncultured bacterium
Lineage: Bacteria
Description: partial 16S ribosomal RNA
Rfam family: Bacterial small subunit ribosomal RNA
Source: RNAcentral
AGUGAACGCUGGCGGUAGGCCUAACACAUGCAAGUCGAACGGCAGCACAGUAAGAGCUUGCUCUUACGGGUGGCGAGUGGCGGACGGGUGAGGAAUACAUCGGAAUCUACUUUUUCGUGGGGGAUAACGUAGGGAAACUUACGCUAAUACCGCAUACGACCUACGGGUGAAAGCAGGGGAUCUUCGGACCUUGCGCGAUUGAAUGAGCCGAUGUCGGAUUAGCUAGUUGGCGGGGUAAAGGCCCACCAAGGCGACGAUCCGUAGCUGGUCUGAGAGGAUGAUCAGCCGCACUGGAACUGAGACACGGUCCAGGCGCCUACGGGAGGCAGCAGUGGGGAAUAUUGGACAAUGGGCGCAAGCCUGAUCCAGCCAUACCGCGUGGGUGAAGAAGGCCUUCGGGUUGUAAAGCCCUUUUGUUGGGAAAGAAAAGCAGCAGGUUAAGACCCCGCUGUUCUGACGGUACCCAAAGAAUAAGCACCGGCUAACUUCGU